This 482-nucleotide ribosomal RNA is filed under the name uncultured bacterium. RNAcentral's name for it is "SSU rRNA". It matches the Rfam family "Bacterial small subunit ribosomal RNA", at positions 26 to 518 of the family's 1533-position model. The record is from RNAcentral.
AGGACGAACGCUGGCGGCGUGCCUAACACAUGCAAGUCGAACGAGGUCCAACCGGUGGCAACACUGGUGAAGACCGAGUGGCGAACGGGUGAGUAACACGUGAGCAACCUGCCUCGAAGACUGGGAUAACCCCGGGAAACCGGAGCUAAUACCGGAUACCCCCACCGGGUCGCAUGGCCUGGUGAGGAAAUGGAUUCCGCUUUGAGAGGGGCUCGCGGCCUAUCAGCUUGAUGGUGGGGUAAUGGCCUACCAUGGCACCGACGGGUAGCUGGUCUGAGAGGACGAUCAGCCACACUGGGACUGAGACACGGCCCAGACUCCUACGGGAGGCAGCAGUGGGGAAUCUUGCGCAAUGGGCGAAAGCCUGACGCAGCAACGCCGCGUGUGGGACGAAGGCCUUCUGGGUUGUAAACCACUUUCAGCAGGGACGAUUGUGACGGUACCUGCAGAAGAAGCCCCGGCAACUACGUGCCAGCAGCCGC